AUACGUAGGUGGCGAGCGUUGUCCGGAAUUAUUGGGCGUAAAGAGCGCGUAGGCGGAACUGCAAGUCUAAUCUAAAAGUGCGGAGCUCAACUCCGUGAGGGGUUAGAAACUGCAGAUCUUGAGUGCAGGAGAGGAAAGUGGAAUUCCCAGUGUAGCGGUGAAAUGCGUAGAGAUUGGGAGGAACACCAGUGGCGAAGGCGACUUUCUGGACUGUGUCUGACGCUGAGGCGCGAAAGCCAGGGGAGUGAACGGGAUUAGAUACCCCGGUAAUCCUGGCCGUAAACGAUGGGUACUAGGUGUAGGAGGUAUCGACCCCUUCUGUGCCGGAGUUAACGCAAUAAGUACCCCGCCUGGGGAGUACGACCGCAAGGUUGAA
Molecule: ribosomal RNA, 376 nt
Filed under: uncultured bacterium
Lineage: Bacteria
Description: bacterial SSU rRNA
Rfam family: Bacterial small subunit ribosomal RNA
Source: RNAcentral